RNAcentral lists this long non-coding RNA (1382 nucleotides) under Callithrix jacchus (white-tufted-ear marmoset). RNAcentral describes it as "lncRNA (ENSCJAG00000073986.1)". Lineage: Eukaryota; Metazoa; Chordata; Mammalia; Primates; Cebidae. The record is from RNAcentral.
UCCCUCUUCUUUCCUAUACUGAGGGAGUAUGGAGCUUUUCAUUUCAUUUUAGAGACAAUGGUCUGCACAGGAAGGAAACAAGUGGGUAGCUGUGUCUUUGUUCGUUUGGCUAACCAGGCCAGAACUGUGGGCCCAUCUCUGCAUAAGCCACUUAGUGUUUCUCUACUCCUAACCACAGAUUGCACUUGAACCUUUGCCAGCUGUUUCCCAGUGCAUGCCAUUGGAUGUGAGGGAGACCUGAAAUGAGUGCAGAUAGAUCCGCGUAAAAUCAUCACAACUUUUUCAAACAAAACACAUAAAACAUGAAGCGCUUAAUGGCAGGAUCAGAAAUUUUAUCUUUAUGUAUUCAAAGGUCAAAACAUUUGUAACACAUGUGCUGCUGUCAGAGUAAAUGCUGUAUGAUAGGAACAAAAUUAAGAAGCUGUGACAUACUUGAAUAUUGAGACUUUUAUCAUUUUAAUCUAAAAAAUUAAAUUUUUUGCUGACAAGUUAGUAUAACCAGUCCUAGAAAAUAGUGGUUGGAAUGAGAAUGAUUUCAUUGAUUCAGAAAUUGCCAAGAGGUCUACAAAACCAGUAUGCCUCCUGUUUUAAUAGAGGACAUAAUUAGAGAAUGUUCUUAGUUGUCUAGCUUUCUUGCCCUGGGAUUUGUGCCUAGUUGUUUGAGGAUUUGUAGGACUCAGAUUUCUCUAACAAUCAACAGUCCUUUUUAUUUUCUUUAUAUUUUCACUUCUGGUUAACAUCCAUCUAUAAUCAUUUAUAUAAUUUUAAGUGAUCUUGAGAACAACCUUGUAAUAUAAAUCAGGCAUUAGUCUCGAAGUUUACCUGGUUAGUCAUUUGGUAACCUUUUUUUAUCUGACUAUUAGUGACUUAACUCUGAGAAGAACAGUUGACAAUAAAGUGAGAAAAAAAACAUAGACCUAUACUAACAAAAUUAUUUCUAAGAUACUACAUUCUCUUGUUAGGAAACAGUGUGAAAGUUUAAAUAUUAUUUAUCAAAGUUUUUUUUUAAAGUUAUACACUUCCCCUCCGCCUUCUAGAAUAUCUAAGGAAAAAAGUAAAAGAACUCUCUUUGGCAUCUCUGGACAGUUGAAUAGACAAGGAAGAACUGUAGUCUUUUUUUUUUUUUUUUUUUUUAAGCUAAAUUACCCUAAGAACACUCUGCUCCAACAUAGGAAUGCCAUGGAACAAGAGAUGGUAACACAAGAUACACCAGGAGACUCGAGCCCCAUUGCUGUUGCUUGAAAAAAGAUUUGGACGGAGUUUUGCUGGAGUGCAAUGGCACAAUCUUGGCUUACUGCAGCCUCUGCCUCCCAAGCUCAAGCAAUUCUGCCUCAGCCUCCCAAGAUGCUGGAAUUACAGGUAUGUUCCACCACACCUGGCUC